AUUGAACGCUGGCGGCAGGCCUAACACAUGCAAGUCGAACGAGUGGCGGACGGGUGAGUAAUGUCUGGGAAACUGCCUGCUGGAGGGGGAUAACUACUGGAAACGGUAGCUAAUACCGCAUACCAUCGGAUGUGCCCAGAUGGGAUUAGCUUGUAGGUGGGGUAAAGGCGCCCCAAGGCGACGAUCCCUAGCUGGUCUGCGAGGAUGACCAGCCACACUGGAACUGGGACACGGUCAAGACUCCUACGGGAGGCAGAAGUGGGGAAUAUUGCACAAUGGGCGCAAGUCUGAUGCAGCCAUGCCGCGUGUAUGAAGAAGGCCUUCGGGUUGUAAAGCACUGUCAUCGGAGAAGCGUUACCCACACAAGAAGCACCGGCUAACUCCGUGCCAGCAGCCGCGGUAAUAC
Molecule: ribosomal RNA, 406 nt
Filed under: uncultured bacterium
Lineage: Bacteria
Description: partial 16S ribosomal RNA
Rfam family: Bacterial small subunit ribosomal RNA
Source: RNAcentral